GUUCAUCUCCUAGAACCUUUGAUCCAGGAGAUCCUCUCGACUGUGAGUCUCGAGGGUCUUCUGACAGAACGGAGGUAGGGACCCUCCGGGGGUGGAAUCUAAUCAGACAGAGGGCUCUCUGCCCUCUGCUUCUCCUUUUCGAGGAAGAUAAGGCGACUGGCCCAAGUGGGCUGCCCGAUCACCAGAUUCUGAAACUCUGACAAUGCUCUUUCCAGCCGCAUAGAUGCCUGCGGCUGCUGCUGCUGCUACAUGGCCUGCACUGCUUCGGUGAGGUCCCUGACCUGCUGAACCA
RNAcentral lists this long non-coding RNA (292 nucleotides) under Elaeis guineensis (African oil palm). RNAcentral describes it as "long non-coding RNA (EGUI_LNC078315)". The record is from RNAcentral. Lineage: Eukaryota; Viridiplantae; Streptophyta; Magnoliopsida; Arecales; Arecaceae.